RNAcentral lists this ribosomal RNA (406 nucleotides) under uncultured bacterium. RNAcentral's name for it is "partial 16S ribosomal RNA". It matches the Rfam family "Bacterial small subunit ribosomal RNA", at positions 29 to 526 of the family's 1533-position model. The record is from RNAcentral.
AUUGAACGCUGGCGGCAGGCCUAACACAUGCAAGUCGAGCGAGCGGCGGACGGGUGAGUAAUGUAUGGGAAACUGCCUGCUGGAGGGGGAUAACUACUGGAAACGGUAGCUAAUACCGCAUACCAUCAGAUGAACCCAUAUGGGAUUAGCUUGUAGGUAAGGUAACGGCUUACCGAGGCGACGAUCCCUAGCUGGUCUGAGAGGAUGAUCAGCCAAACUGGGACUGAGACACGGCCCAGAGUCCUACGGGAGGCAGGAGUGGGGAAUAGUGCACAAUGGGCGCAAGCCUGAUACAGCCAGGCCGCGUGGAUGAAGAAGGCCUUCGGGUUGUAAAGUACUUUCAGUGGGGAGGCGUUACCGGCAGAAGAAGCACCGGCUAACUCCGGGCCAGCAGCCGCGGUAAUAC